UGUAGCUCAGUGGUAGAGUGCUUGCCUAGCAUGCAUGAGACCCUGGGUACAAUCUCUAGCA
This 61-nucleotide transfer RNA is filed under the name Heterocephalus glaber (naked mole-rat). It matches the Rfam family "tRNA", at positions 6 to 65 of the family's 71-position model. From Rfam's summary of the family: Transfer RNA (tRNA) molecules are approximately 80 nucleotides in length. Their secondary structure includes four short double-helical elements and three loops (D, anti-codon, and T loops). The record is from Rfam by way of RNAcentral. Lineage: Eukaryota; Metazoa; Chordata; Mammalia; Rodentia; Bathyergidae.